GGCAAGUUCUGGUGCCAGCAGCCGCGGUAAUUCCAGCUCCAGUAGCGUAUAUUAAAGUUGCUGCAGUUAAAAAGCUCGUAGUUGAAUUUCUGUUUGUAAGAGUCGAAGCUUUACAGCUAAGAUUUCUUCGAACAUCUGUUUGCAAGCAUACGUUCGGCCUUCACUGGUUGGCUAUGUAAGCAAGCGUUUUACCUUGAGAAAAUUAGAGUGUUCCAGGCAGGCUUCAGCCGGAAUACAUUAGCAUGGAAUAAUGGAAUAGGACUGGGGACUAUUUAUUGGUUUGAGGCUCCAGUAAUGAUUAAUAGGAACAGUCGGGGGCAUUGGUACUUAACAGUCAGAGGUGAAAUUCUUGGAUUUGUUAAAGACUAACUAAUGCGAAAGCAUUUGCCAAGCAUGUUUUCAUUAAUCAAGAACGAAAGUUAGGGGAUCAAAGACGAUUAGAUACCGUCCUAGUCUUAACUGUAAACGAUUCCAUCUUAGAAUUGGGUGAAUAUUUGAUGAUUCAUCCAGCGCUAUAAGAG
Molecule: ribosomal RNA, 521 nt
Filed under: uncultured eukaryote
Lineage: Eukaryota
Description: SSU rRNA
Rfam family: Eukaryotic small subunit ribosomal RNA
Source: RNAcentral